CGCCCGACGUGGAGCUUCAACCCACGACCUCAAGAUUAAGAGUCUCGUGCUCUAUCGACUGAGCUAGCCGGGC
Molecule: transfer RNA, 73 nt
Filed under: Araneus ventricosus
Lineage: Eukaryota; Metazoa; Arthropoda; Arachnida; Araneae; Araneidae
Description: tRNA-Lys
Source: RNAcentral